Molecule: RNA transcript, 1635 nt
Organism: Ricinus communis (castor bean)
Lineage: Eukaryota; Viridiplantae; Streptophyta; Magnoliopsida; Malpighiales; Euphorbiaceae
Gene name: E3 ubiquitin-protein ligase CHIP
Exons: 11
Source: RefSeq, a predicted model, not a curated record
UACUUACAGUCUCCAUUUCAUUUUCAACACGCCCAUACUACAAACUUGCAUAAUUAUAUUAACGUUAAAUAGAAAAUUCUAGAGAGAAAAGAAAUUAUCAAACUAAUUCUAAAAAGGAAUCAUUAACCCUAUAUAGUUGUAGAUUGUAACGUAGAAAUUGACAAGAAAGAGUGGUGAUCAAGAAACAUUGAAGUAGAGAAGAAUGGUGGGAGGAGCAGCCUUUAAACAAGCCGAGAAAUUAAGAAUUGAUGGUAAUACCUAUUUUAAAAGAGACCGAUUUGGUGCUGCUAUUGAUGCUUACACUGAGGCAAUUACUUUAUGCCCUAAUGUCCCUGUAUAUUGGACCAAUCGUGCUCUUUGCCAUAGGAAACGCAAUGAUUGGAGAAAAGUUGAACAAGAUUGUCGCAGAGCGAUUCAGCUUGACAACAAUUCUUUCAAGGCCCAUUAUAUGUUGGGGCUUGCAUUACUACAAAAAGGAGAAUUAGCUGAAGGCGUAAAGGAGUUGCAAAAAGCUUUGGAUCUUGGUAGGGGUGCAGAUGGAAAGGGCUACAUGGUAGAAGAAAUCUGGCAAGAGCUGGCCAAAGCUAAAUACAUGGAGUGGGAGCAGGCAUCUACUAAGCGUUCAUGGGAACUCCAAAACUUGAAAGAAGCUUGUGAAAAUGCUCUUAGAGAAAAAAGUUUUCUUGAUAAUUCUCAAACAGAAGGGUUCUUGGAUGACAUGAUUGCUUCUCAUUCAAAACAAUUGGAAGAUUUAGGACACGUGUUCAAGAAAGCUGCAGAAGAUGACACGCCAACCGAGGUUCCAGAUUAUUUAUGUUGCAAAAUCACACUUGACAUUUUCCGGGAUCCUGUUAUUACUCCAAGCGGUAUUUCAUAUGAAAGAGCAGUAAUCCUCGACCAUCUUCAGAAGGUGGGGAAGUUUGAUCCAGUGACACGGGAGCCACUGGAUCCAUCUCAGCUAGUAUCAAACUUGGCGAUAAAGGAAGCAGUUGAAGCAUAUCUGAACAAACAUGGUUGGGCCUACAAGAUGGAUUCAGAUUGAUGGUUUCUGGUCACUCAUAAAAGACAUUUGAUAAUUAAAGCUCAGUGACAGACUAAUAGCAGUGAUAGGGUUGAGCUAAUUCCAAAGAAUACUUUUUUUGAUAGGGAAUUCUUCCUUGCAUCGUCCAUCAUGUUUAGUAUCUGAUUCUAGCAGACUCAGUGUACCGACAGUUGUUUACAGUACAAGUGAUCACAUGAAUUACAAAUAAUAUAUUUCAAUCUCUCCCUCCCUUGUGAAAAAAGGUAUGAGAUACUAUCAUUAUCGCCUGGACAAGUAGACAUCCAAUCCGUAAUUGUAACGACCUAAUUGCAAGAGCGGAACUCUACGAACUGAACUAUAUUCCUCCGAGCCAAGUGGAGCAUGCUCGAAGGAAUCAGAUGCUUCUUCUAUUUUUUUCUUUGGCGCAGCUGGGCCAUCCUGGACUUGAAUCAAAGACCUCGCUCAUGAAGGACAUGCUCUUCAAAGAUCUCACCCUCAUAUCACUCUCCUAAACAAGCUUUAUAGGCACAAUGUAUGUUUAGACACCUAAAUUUUAAUCAUUUAAUUACUUUAAUUUUCAGUUUAAUCUAAGAAACAUUUCAAUUUUAUUUUUA